CAAAAUAAAGCUAAAUCAGUUAAGCGUCUCACUUACAUUGGGAAUUAUUUCGUGCAAUUCGAUAUAUUUUGA
Molecule: transfer RNA, 72 nt
Filed under: Pseudeuphausia sinica
Lineage: Eukaryota; Metazoa; Arthropoda; Malacostraca; Euphausiacea; Euphausiidae
Description: tRNA-Val
Rfam family: tRNA
About the family: Transfer RNA (tRNA) molecules are approximately 80 nucleotides in length. Their secondary structure includes four short double-helical elements and three loops (D, anti-codon, and T loops). Further hydrogen bonds mediate the characteristic L-shaped molecular structure. tRNAs have two regions of fundamental functional importance: the anti-codon, which is responsible for specific mRNA codon recognition, and the 3' end, to which the tRNAs corresponding amino acid is attached (by aminoacyl-tRNA synthetases). tRNAs cope with the degeneracy of the genetic code in two manners: having more than one tRNA (with a specific anti-codon) for a particular amino acid; and 'wobble' base-pairing, i.e. permitting non-standard base-pairing at the 3rd anti-codon position.
Source: RNAcentral